Molecule: long non-coding RNA, 2458 nt
Filed under: Ixodes scapularis (black-legged tick)
Lineage: Eukaryota; Metazoa; Arthropoda; Arachnida; Ixodida; Ixodidae
Description: uncharacterized LOC121045661
Source: RNAcentral
GUGAGCCCCCCAACGUCAGCACGGUGAUGUGCGACACGAGUGAGCCUUUCUACUUUUUGGCGGAGACCCCUUUUCGCCAGCAAGUGUCUCGGUGUCUCCGUGAAGCACCGAAGUGUAGCUACAGCCCUCUUCGGCGAGCUGAACGGGCUGCCGAGCUUUCGAAGGCCGAUCUCCCGCAGCGCUGGCACCCGGAGAACCGCGCCAUGGCGCUCGCUGGGAAUCCACCGGCUGCCGUGCUACUGAAAGGGCCCUCUGCUCGGAGGACAUGUUGCGGGCCCUGUGUAAUGCCCUCGGCGCCUGUGCGACUUCCAGGGGGUCUGCGUUUCCCGGCCCCGUUACCAGCUGGGAAGUUCUCCAUGGAGGGGACGACAUCCUGUCCAGCACCAGCUUCACCAUCUGGGACCAAGUGCACGAGGGGUCGCACUGCAAGCAGAUGAAAGGAGGGCACUGCGACCUUGAGGUCAAGCUUGUACAUCUACCAUUACAGAGUCCGGAAUGGAUGCCAAUUGGUACUGAUGACCUUGUGAAGGUGAAACGUCCCUGGAUCUAAUGGGAAAAUCUGAUUGAAGGCGAGCUGAAGUUGUUUCUGACUUUUUCCUCUUAUGACUUGAAAGUAAUCUGCCUACUUCAUGAAUUUUGAAGAUGCAUGCAAAAUUUGAUCGACGAAGUCCCUAUCCUUCGAGAACAAGUGUCAACGGGGGAUAGUCGAAAGACCACCCACUUCAACGUAAUGUGCACAUUGAAACAUGUUCCUUUUCUGCUUUCCGGAGAGCAAAAAAGCCAACGAAUCUCCCUCUUCCUUUUCGCAAUGGGGAGGUGUGCAAGACUGACUGCAUAUUUUAUAUAUGCAAUCAGUUUCAUAAGUGAAUGAAGACAAAAGCAGAAUACAUGUUCACAGAUUAUUUGUGAAUUCUUAGACUUGCUGAAUUGAGUAGUUUAUGUUCGAGUCAUGUAAUAUGAAGUCAAAACCAGAUUUAGUGCAUUUUUAAGAAGCCUUUUAGACCUGAGAGUUCUGCUUUGACUCAGCAAUACACAACUCACCUUUGUUAUUCCUAUAGCACAGCCGAAACUAUAAACACGAGCAUGUUGCCUGACCAAUGCUUGAACUGCCGUGAAAUCGACGAAGUCCCUAUCCUUCGAGAACAAGUGUCAACGGGGGAUAGUCGAAAGACUAGGGUAUUUAUUGCACACACAUACUUGAUUUCAAGCUUGCAGAUUGAAAUAAUUGUUUAUUGAGUCAUAUUCAUUCUUAAACUUGUUUGAGAUUGUAUUGGUUCAUAUUCACAGUAUAUUUAUUUUUCAUUUCAGCAAGGAAUAUUUUAGAGACAGAUGUUGGUGUUCAGGCGUGAUGCUUUUAUUUUCGUAACAUGCAAGAGUGGAAAAAAUUAGAUUCGGCUUUGUAAACUGAUUUUUUUUAUGUAUUCUUCCAAACAGCAUAGCAAACAAUAAUAUAAGGGCUACAGCUGCGAGAGUUGCUACACCUGGCAUCUCAUCUGUUUUAUAGCGUGUACAGGUGAGACACUAUACUCCGUUUCUCGGUAACUUGGCAAACAUUGCGACCCAAUAAGAGCAUCGGAGCCAGGCACGUGACAACACUCCGCGAUCGAGUCCUCGUUAUUGCCACAGCAAGAGCGCCAUCUGCGACAAAACAUAGUUCUAGGCUUUGUUUUUUCUUCUUCUUUUAGUAGUGUUGCCGUCGGAUUCUUCGGACCGCAACACGACACUGAAGAAAGACGAAGACAUAUGUCACUUAUUAACGACACUUAAUAUAGAUAAACACUUUUUUGAGAAAAACAUGGCUUGUGAUCGAUGUUCAAACAAUUGUAGCCGUGAAUCGACCACUUCCGCUCAAAACAUCGCCCUAGCAUUAGCACCCGCCACAGAUUCAUGGGCAAAUUGAGCAUGUGGUUUUCUCAUAAAAGUGCUCCUGAAGAGCUCGCUACUCUAGUGGACGGUAACGUUGCUGCAGUGGACGUUCAUCCAAAGUUGUUUGGUUUCUGAGCAGACGACAGCCGGUUCUGGCGGGUGGUUCUUGCAUUUGGCGCGGUGACACGAACGCUCCUGUGACAUGCGUCCAUGUGCCUCGCUCCGACAUUCUUACUGGGUCGCAGGAGCCGUAGCCUCCACAGUUCACCAAGUUAUCGUGAAACAGAAUCCAGACUAAGUUGCCUGCUAAUGAAAGUAGCCUUGCCAGCAUCAUGUAUUAUGUAUGAAAUAGUGUAUACUUCGAGAAAACAAAUAAAGUCUUUCAACCUUUCCACUGAUUGUGUUUGUUCAUUAGUAAAACUUGGUUCAGUGAACUUUACAUUUCAGCAGUAGCAUGGACACAACAGGUAAGGUCAAUUACAAGUGCUUUAGAGCAGUCCAUACAGUUUCCAAGUGGCUCAUGCAAAGCAGCUGACAUGGUAUUACCCCCAGGAAAAAGACGAGUCCUCCUUGACGAAUCUACUUCAGCCGC